GGACUUGGCGGUGCAUUAAUCCACCCAGGGGAACCUGGCCCUUAAAUCGAUGAUCCGCGAACUUCUUACCUUCUCUUGUAUAAGUUUUCCUUUAGGGGGAACUUAUGUCAGUUUGCAUACCGCCGUUUUCAGCUUGUAUCGCGAGGUAAAAGAAACAGGCUAUUCAGUAAGUGAACGUUUGUCUACGCAGGUGAAAUUUAUGUUUUACCAGGGGGCAAUGGGACUGCUAGGAAUUCAGGUAAAAGUGCAGCCUAUGGGAAGGGGGCAGCUGGGUUACAGUUGGUGUUUGAAUUGGAAUGUAGUCCGAAGUGGCUGUGUGAAAGAGUACUUGGAAGUAAUGACUUUAGGCAAUGGAGUCGUGAAUGGUGCUCUAGUGUGUGUACAAAUC
Molecule: ribosomal RNA, 388 nt
Filed under: Nipponacmea moskalevi
Lineage: Eukaryota; Metazoa; Mollusca; Gastropoda; Lottiidae
Description: partial 12S ribosomal RNA
Source: RNAcentral